AUUGCUGUGGUAUUUUGACUAUACAAAGGUAUUGUAAUAAGAUUUUAAUUGAAUGCUAAAAGAAUGGAUUAACAGAUAAAUACUUUCUUUAAUUUAAAAAUUAAAUUUAUUAUUUUUUGUGCAGAAACAAAAAUAAAAAUUAAGGACAAGAAGACCCUAAGAAUUUUAAUUUGAUUUAAAUAAUUUAUAUUUCUUAAUCAAAUUUAAUUGGGGCGAUUGAAAAAUAUUUUUAACUUUUUUUUAAAAAAAAUAUGAACCAUUAAUAAUGGUAAUAUGAAAAAAUACUCUAGGGAUAACAGCGUAAUAAUUUUUGAUAGUUCAUAUAGACAAAAUAGUUUGCGACCUCGAUGUUGGAUUAGGAUUCUAAUUUAAUGAAGAAGUUAAAUUAAGAAGUUUGUUCAACUUUUAAAUUCCUACUU
This 419-nucleotide ribosomal RNA is filed under the name Amblyomma javanense. Its description in RNAcentral is "partial large subunit ribosomal RNA". Lineage: Eukaryota; Metazoa; Arthropoda; Arachnida; Ixodida; Ixodidae. The record is from RNAcentral.